AACGAACGCUGGCGGCAGGCUUAACACAUGCAAGUCGAACGAUGUAGCAAUACAUAGUGGCGCACGGGUGAGUAACGCGUGGGAAUAUACCGAGUAGUGGGGAAUAACUUUGGGAAACUAAAGCUAAUACCGCAUACGCCCGAGAGGGGAAAGAUUUAUCGCUAUUCGAUUAGCCCGCGUGAGAUUAGGUAGUUGGUGGGGUAAUGGCCUACCGAGCCGACGAUCUCUAGCUGGUCUGAGAGGAUGAUCAGCCACACUGGAACUGAGACACGGUCCAGACUCCUACGGGAGGCAGCAGUGGGGAAUAUUGGGCAAUGGAGGAAACUCUGACCCAGCCAUGCCGCGCGAAUGAUGAAGGCCUUAGGGUUGUAAAGUUCUUUCACCGAUGAAGAUAAUGACGGUAGUCGGAGAAGAAGCCCCGGCUAACUUCGUGCCAGCCGCCGCGGUAA
RNAcentral lists this ribosomal RNA (449 nucleotides) under uncultured bacterium. RNAcentral's name for it is "partial 16S ribosomal RNA". It matches the Rfam family "Bacterial small subunit ribosomal RNA", at positions 29 to 523 of the family's 1533-position model. The record is from RNAcentral.